UACGGAGGGGGCGAGCGUUGUCCGAAGUUACUGGGCGUAAAGCGCGCGUAGGCGGGUUGGCAAGUCUGCUGUGAAAGCCCGGAGCUUAACUCCGGAGGGUCGGUGGAUACUGCCAGUCUUGAAGGUGCUAGGGAGAGAUGGAAUUACCGGUGUAGCGGUGAAAUGCGUAGAUAUCGGGAGGAACACCAAUGGCGAAGGCAGCUCGCUGGGACGGUACUGACGCUGAGACGCGAAAGCGUGGGGAGCAAACAGG
RNAcentral lists this ribosomal RNA (253 nucleotides) under uncultured bacterium. RNAcentral describes it as "partial 16S ribosomal RNA". It matches the Rfam family "Bacterial small subunit ribosomal RNA", at positions 524 to 776 of the family's 1533-position model. The record is from RNAcentral.